CCUACGGGGUGGCACCAGUGGGGAAUAUUGCACAAUGGGCGCAAGCCUGAUGCAGCAACGCCGCGUGAGGGAAGACGGUCUUCGGAUUGUAAACCUCUGUCCUUGGUGAAGAAACAUGACGGUAGCCAUGGAGGAAGCCACGGCUAACUACGUGCCAGCAGCCGCGGUAAUACGUAGGUGGCAAGCGUUGUCCGGAUUUACUGGGUGUAAAGGGAGCGCAGGCGGGAAAGCAAGUCAGCUGUGAAAACUAUGGGCUUAACCUAUAGACUGCAGUUGAAACUGAUUUUCUUGAGUGGAGUAGAGGUAAGCGGAAUUCCGAGUGUAGCGGUGAAAUGCGUAGAGAUUCGGAGGAACACAGUGGCGAAGGCGGCUUACUGGGCUCUAACUGACGCUGAGGCUCGAAAGUGUGGGGAGCAAACAGGAUUAGAUACCCCCGUAGUC
This 441-nucleotide ribosomal RNA is filed under the name uncultured bacterium. Its description in RNAcentral is "bacterial SSU rRNA". It matches the Rfam family "Bacterial small subunit ribosomal RNA", at positions 338 to 795 of the family's 1533-position model. The record is from RNAcentral.